CCUACGGGAGGCAGCAGUGGGGAAUUAUUGGACAAUGGGCGCAAGCCUGAUCCAGCCAUGCCGCGUGAGUGAAGAAGGCUUCGGGUUGUAAAGCUCUUUCAGACGGAAAGAAAUCGGUGUGUCUAAUACACGCACUGGAUGACGGUACCGUAAGAAGAAGCACCGGCUAUAUAACGWGCCAGCAGCCGCGGUAAU
This 195-nucleotide ribosomal RNA is filed under the name uncultured bacterium. Its description in RNAcentral is "partial 16S ribosomal RNA". It matches the Rfam family "Bacterial small subunit ribosomal RNA", at positions 338 to 524 of the family's 1533-position model. The record is from RNAcentral.